RNAcentral lists this transfer RNA (67 nucleotides) under Coprobacter secundus. It matches the Rfam family "tRNA". Rfam says of the family: Transfer RNA (tRNA) molecules are approximately 80 nucleotides in length. Their secondary structure includes four short double-helical elements and three loops (D, anti-codon, and T loops). Further hydrogen bonds mediate the characteristic L-shaped molecular structure. tRNAs have two regions of fundamental functional importance: the anti-codon, which is responsible for specific mRNA codon recognition, and the 3' end, to which the tRNAs corresponding amino acid is attached (by aminoacyl-tRNA synthetases). tRNAs cope with the degeneracy of the genetic code in two manners: having more than one tRNA (with a specific anti-codon) for a particular amino acid; and 'wobble' base-pairing, i.e. permitting non-standard base-pairing at the 3rd anti-codon position. Lineage: Bacteria; Pseudomonadati; Bacteroidota; Bacteroidia; Bacteroidales; Barnesiellaceae. The record is from RNAcentral.
AAUGUAGUUCAGUUGGUUAGAACGUCGGAUUGUGGUUCCGAAGGUCGUGGGUUCGAGCCCCAUCUUU